Molecule: ribosomal RNA, 120 nt
Filed under: uncultured bacterium
Lineage: Bacteria
Description: partial 16S ribosomal RNA
Rfam family: Bacterial small subunit ribosomal RNA
Source: RNAcentral
AGCGAACGCUGGCGGCAGGCCUAACACAUGCAAGUCGAGCGGCCGUAGCAAUACGGCAGCGGCAGACGGGAGAGUAACACGUGGGAACGCGCCCUUCGGUCCGGGAUAACCCAGGGAAAC